Molecule: small RNA, 1206 nt
Filed under: Histoplasma ohiense
Lineage: Eukaryota; Fungi; Ascomycota; Eurotiomycetes; Onygenales; Ajellomycetaceae
Description: hypothetical lncRNA
Source: RNAcentral
AUCGCUGCCAAUUUAUCUACCACUGCCAAUCUAUCUAUCGCUGCCAAUUUAUCUACCACUGCCAAUCUAUCUAUCGCUGCCAAUCUAUUGCUGCUAAUCUAUCGCUGCUAAUCUAUCGCUGCUGCCAAUCUAUCUUUCGCUGCUAAUCUAUCGCCGCUGCCAAUCUAUCCCUCGCUGCUAAGCUAUCCCUCGCUGCUAAGCUAUCCCUCACUGCUAAGCUAUCUCUCGCUGCUAAGCUAUCCCUCACUGCUAAGCUAUCCCUCGCUGCUAAGCUAUCCCUCGCUGCUAAGCUAUCCCUCGCUGGCUAUCCCUCACUGCUAAGCUAUCGCCGCUGCCAACCUAUCUAUUGCUGCAAGCUAUCCCUCGCUGCUAAGCUAUCCCUCGCUGCUAAGCUAUCCCUCGCUGCUAAGCUAUCCCUCGCUGCUAAGCUAUCCCUCGCUGCUAAGCUAUCCCUCGCUGCUAAGCUAUCCCUCACUACUAAGCUAUCUAUCGCUGCUAAUCUAUCGCUGCCAACCUAUCUAUCACUGCCAACCUAUCUAUCGCUGCCAAUUUAUCUACCACUGCCAAUCUAUCACUGCUAAUCUAUCUAUCGCUGCUAAUCUAUCGCUGCUGUCAAUCUAUCUAUCGCUGCUAAUCUAUCGCUGCUAAUCUAUUGCUGCUAAUCUAUUGCUGCUGCCAAUCUAUCUAUCGCUGCUAAUCUAUCGCUGCUAAUCUAUCUAUCGCUGCUAAUCUAUCGCUGCUGUCAAUCUAUCUAUCACUGCUAAUCUAUCGCUGCUAAUCUAUCGCUGCUAAUCUAUCGCUGCCAACCUAUCUACCGCGGCGAAUCUAUCUAUUGCUGCCAACCAACCUACCUACCACUGCCAACCUAUCUAUCGCUGCCAAUCUAUCGCUGCCAAUCUAUUGCUGCCAAUCUAUCGCUGCCAACCUAUCUACUGCAGUGAAUCUAUCUAUCACUAUCAUUACUAGUUCAAAAUAGAACUAGAGCAUAAAUACACUAAACUUCUUUUGAUAGGUAAUGAUUUUUGGUAACACUCAUAGCAUUAUAUCAUCUAUAUAGGGUAAAUCAUGGUCCCAUUUUGUCCCAUUUUAACAAAAUGGGAUCAAAUGAGAUCAGAAUCAGUAAUUUAUAAGAAGAACAUGACCUGAGACUAGAUUUAUAAUAUAAACAAUGUAAAGUGACUAAUUUAAUAAACACUAUAUGAGAUC